Molecule: long non-coding RNA, 726 nt
Filed under: Mus spicilegus (steppe mouse)
Lineage: Eukaryota; Metazoa; Chordata; Mammalia; Rodentia; Muridae
Description: lncRNA (ENSMSIG00000017140.1)
Source: RNAcentral
GCUGUUGCUAGCCCAGGCACUCCCAGCUCUGUCAUAAGGCCAUGGGCAUGAUGUCACCCCUGCCUCCCUCUGACCACCUGUACUAAUCCUUUGAGUCAGACUGGAUCCCACUCCCAGUCUACUUGAGGGCCAGGGAGCAAGAUCACAGGUGCUCAGAGAACUGUCACAGUCUGCACCUGAAGCUGCAGCGUCCCCUGUAUGAGUGAUGAACCUUUGGCAUAGGAGCGCCCCGGUUUCGAGAGCGGGAGUCGGUUUGGCAGCAUGGAGGACCCAGAUUCCUUUGGCUUUCCUGCUUCACCCAUGCUCUUAGCUCCAUCUCAGCGGCCAACACCAACCUCAAAUAAAAACAGAAUUCUGUAACUAAGGAGGAAGCACUCAGGCCAAAGAGAGGGCAACCUCAGGCUGCCUGUUGCAGCUGCCAUUCUGAGCACGGGACACCUUCAUGGCCCUUUUCACUGCUGGCUCUCUCUGAUCAGACCAUCCCACAGUAGCCUCAGAUAUCUUAUAGACCAUUUAUUAGAAAACUAUAGGGAAAAAAAUGUAAUCUACAAAAACAAGAGAAACCUCAAUAAGAAGCAAACCGUUCUUGGUUGGGACCUGGAGAUUCAACGCAGGAAAGAGAAGAGGCUGCUCAGGGGACGAUUCGGAGAAAGGAGCCAAGCCUGGGAAGGAGCACCACACAGGAAGGGGCUGUGCAUUUCAACUAGUUCUACCCCCAGCUGUUAA